Long non-coding RNA from Gorilla gorilla gorilla (western lowland gorilla), 3930 nucleotides. RefSeq lists it as uncharacterized. The record is from RefSeq and is a predicted model, not a curated record. The transcript has 4 exons. Lineage: Eukaryota; Metazoa; Chordata; Mammalia; Primates; Hominidae.
AGAUCUCCGUCGCGCACCCCUGCUGCCCCCACCGAUCCCUCCUCCUCCUUUCACUGCGUGUUUGGGCACCCGUGGGAGGCAGGAAAUGGAGACCAGAGGUGAACCUGCAUGUUUUGGAAUGCAUUCCAUUCUAACUUAACCCCCAAGGAGCAGAAACCCAAGCUGGGAAGGAGGAGCCCCAGAAAGAGGGAGAAGGAGACUGCACUCUCUUCUCCUGCCAGAGGCCUCAAGCAGUUCUGAGCUGAAGGAAUAGAGCAGCUUCCUCGUGAGCAUUCCCCUAAUACGUCACCUGCACCUGAAUGCAGGGCUCGGAUUCGGCUUCUGGUGGACCUGGCUGAAUCAGUCAAUAUCAGCUGGAUGAAUGAAGAACUUUUACUGAGAGGCUUUCUGGGACUCUGGAAUGCAUGGCCCAAGGAAACACUGGGCCACGUGGAAGAAAGUCCUUCUAGGGUUAGAUUAGAUGUCCUCUUUCAGGUGAUGUACAGGCUGAGGACUUUAGGAAUUGUGGGCUAUUGCUCCUACUUGUCGUGUACUUGGAGGGCUAGGAGGAUGGAAGGGUAAGUUUUAUCAUUGUUCACCUCAUUGGCUCAUCCGGGCUGGCCUAGAUGUGCUUAUCAUGAACAGGAAGCCUGUGAAGGGAAGUGUGUGUGUGUGUGUGUGUGUGUGUGUGUGUGUGUCUCACGUACCUGGUUCGGGAGUCCAGGAAGGCCUUGUUGACUUGGACCUUGGCCUGACUCACGGUAUCGGAGAUGGCAGAGGUUCUGGUAGUCUGCGCUUGGGGUUGGAGUGGGGAGCAGGAAGUAGGGUGUCAGACACCACUCCUUUGCGAUGUCUUCUGCUUUUGUCUCCCUCUUUCUCAGCCAUUACCCCCACCCCUCAAAUCUGGGUAGGCAGGAGAUCAAGAUUAGGAAAGUUUCAUAAGAGUCCUUAAGGGGAAAAAGCACAGAAUGGGAAGAAUACUCUUGGAUCUUCAACAAGAUGUCAAAAUUGCUCUUUGAGAUCUCACUAGAAUGCCCAGAGAUGGGAUGAAGAGGGAGUGUGGCCACUCACGGUGGCUUGGGCUACUGGACUGUGGGGAUUUCUCUGGUUCCUGGUGAGAUGGUCUUGUGGACUAUCUCAAGUUCAUCAAAGAGGACCCACUGAUCACCAGGACCCUGACGUACAGAAGGGGAUGGCAUGAGAGUAGUGGUGGGAUUCCCUGUUCCCUCUUGUAUUGGGGUCUGGAGCAUGGAGGACAGGAUCUGUUCUCUCAACAAGGAGAGUGUAGUGGGUUAAAUAAUGGCCCUCCCAAAAUUCACAUCUGCAUGGAACCUCAGAAUGUGACCUUAUUUGGAAGUAGGGUCUUUGUAGAUGUUAUGAAUUAAAAUGAGGUCAUACUGCCUUAGCAUCGGCCCUAAAUCCAAUAAAUGGUGGUUUUAUGAGAAGAGGAGAGGACACACAAAGAAAAAGGCCAUGCAAAGACUGAGGCAGAGAUUGGAGUGUUGCAACUACAAGCCAGGGAACACCAAGGAUACCAGGGCCACCAGAAGCUGGAAGAAGAAAGGAAGCAUUCUUCCCUAGAGCCUUCAGAGGGAGCACAGCCCUGCCAACACCUUGAUUUUGGACUUCUAUCCUCCCGUACUGUGAGAGAAUACAUUUCUGUUGUCUUAGGCCAUCCAGUUGGUGUGCUUUGUGACAGCAGCCCCAGAAAACCCAUAAAGGGAGACACUCACCUCUUGUGGUAGAUGCUGCAGCCUGAAGCAAGAUGAGGGAAGCCAGGAGGGCUGGGAGAUGGAGAAGGACCCUCAUCACUGAAACGAGAUGCAGGAUCACACUGUGAGCCUCUCUAGAGACCAAGUGGGAGGGUUUGAACCACAGAAAGCAGAGAAAGCCAAAGGAGCGCCAGACACCCUAACAUUAGAACAGGAAAGGAGAAACCACAUUAACGAAUGAAGCAUCUACCAUACACACAGGCCUGUGCUAGGUACUGGGAGAGAUGGAAAGAGGAGAAGACAUGGCGGAAGGGAAAGAACUCAGGCUUCAGGAUCUAAGGCCCUGAGUUAUCAUUCUGCAUUUGCUCCAAUAGCUCUGUGACCUUGGGCAGGUUACUUAACAUCUCUGGGGUCCUGGCUUGCUAUGGGAGGAGGUGGGACCAAGUGAUCCAGAAUGUUCAAUUCUGCCCUAACAGCCUGUGGUCCGGAGAUGCUGCACCUGUCUUGUCACAGGUGUGAGAAAUGCUGUUACCAAGGCUGGAGCCUGCCUUUGAGUUCCCCUCCCUCCUUCCCUGCAGGAUGCAUUGCUCCCUGCAAGCCAGUUUCCUCUGGCCCAGCCCCAGGAGAGAAUGCCUGAGGGGCAGACACUCAGCGCCUCCCUUCGGAAACCUGGCAGGGGCUUCCCCUUCCCUCAAAGUGCCAACUUGAUGGCAAUACUGAAAGAAAGUUACGACAAAGCUCAGAGCUCCCCUGAGCCCACAGCUGUGCCCCAGUCUGCCUGGAAAGAUUCCAGCUCAUGGAUUAACCCCUUUGCCAUGAGCUUUAACUCUGAAUGCAAAUCUUUAGACUGAAAUUUGUGAAGCUUUGUUUUCUGAUGAGGGUCUUCAUUGGGCUUAGUGGAGCAGACCCCAUACAUCUUCUGAGGAGAUUCUGGCUCCAGCCCGGGGAGGCAGCCACAGCGUGCAGAUGGAAUGAUUGUGUGUUUAGACCAUGGUCCUGAGAGGCUCCUCAGCUUUCACAAGGGCGCCUGGGCCCUCCCUGCAGCACAGCGUUCACUGGUGGAAUCCAGAAGCACACUAGGGAGAGCAGCCUCAGGUUGCCCCCCAGCCAUGUCUCCCCAGGGCUCAGCUCCCAGAGAGAAAUCGUAGUUCUGGAGCUUUGCCUGACAGACUUCCCCGUUUGUCUUGCAGACCCUCUCCAAAUCACCUCCCUUUGGAAUAGGCCAGACCAGGAGACCUCUGUAUCUGGAUCAGGUCAUUUCAGCCUCUUUCACCCCUGCCUGCCUCCAAUUUUUCCCUCUGCCCUUUCGUGGUCCCCCUAAUAAUUUGUAUCUUGUUGUACUUUUUGCCAGCUAACUCUAGAGAAAGGACAAGGCAUGAAUAAAUACCUCUCUGGCCAAGAUUCUCUCUGUUACUUCCCCCCACCCCAAGAUGAGUUCUCAAACAGCUUGACCUCUCAGUGGGCUCUUGUCCUUAUAGUUGUAUGGCCCCAAGGAGGAAGAGAUUCUGUGACCUCCUAUCCCUCUGUCACCAUAUUUUGCAACUUCAGGGGACCCAUUGCAGGGUUCAUUGAGUUAGCAGAAAUCUGCCCUUCAGACAAACAGAGAUGAUGGUUUUGGAGGAAAAGGUAUCAUUGACUUUAAAAAAUAAACUAUGGUAAAAAAACAUGGCCAGGUGUGGUGGCUCAUGCCUGUAAUCCCAGAAGUUUGGGAGGCCGAGACAGGCGGAUCACUUGAGGUCAGGGGUUGGAGACCAGCCUGGUCAACGUGGUAAAACCCUGUCUCUACUAGAAAUACAAGAAUUAGCCAGGCGUGGUGGCAGACACUGGCAAUUCCAGCUACUCGGGAGACUGAGGCAGGAGAAUCGCUUGAACCUGGGAGGUGGAGGUUGCAGUGAGCCAAGAUUGCACCACUGCACUCCAGCCUGGGCUCAAAAAAAAAAAGAAAAGAAAAGAACAACAACAACAAAAAUCCACAUGGCAUAAAAUUUAGCAUCCUAGUCAUUUAAACUAUACAGUGCUGUAAUGUUAGGUAUAUUCACAUGUUGCACAAUGGAUCUCUAGAACAUUUUCAUCCUGUAAAAACUGAAACCCUAUACCCAUUGAACACCAACUCCCUAUUUCCCCUUCCCCCUAGCUCCUGGCAACCACCAUAUCACUGAUUUUUUUAAAGAGGGCUGUGGGCACAAACAUUCAUUAUAUUGUUCUUUGAAUGACUAAUGCAUUUCCUAAUAAAUGACAA